RNAcentral lists this ribosomal RNA (757 nucleotides) under marine CFB-group bacterium SY226. RNAcentral describes it as "bacterial SSU rRNA". It matches the Rfam family "Bacterial small subunit ribosomal RNA", at positions 65 to 816 of the family's 1533-position model. Lineage: Bacteria; Pseudomonadati; Bacteroidota. The record is from RNAcentral.
AGGGGUAACAUGGAGUGCUUGCACUUUGAUGACGACCGGCGCACGGGUGCGUAACGCGUAUACAAUCUACCUUAUACUGAGGGAUAGCCCAGAGAAAUUUGGAUUAAUACCUCAUAGUAUGUUUUUAUGGCAUCAUAUAGACAUUAAAGGUUACGGUAUAAGAUGAAUAUGCNNNCCUAUUAGCUAGAUGGUAAGGUAACGGCUUACCAUUGCUACGAUAGGUAGGGGCCCUGAGAGGGGGAUCCCCCACACUGGUACUGAGACACGGACCAGACUCCUACGGGAGGCAGCAGUGAGGAAUAUUGGACAAUGGGCGAGAGCCUGAUCCAGCCAUGCCGCGUGCAGGAAGACUGCCCUAUGGGUUGUAAACUGCUUUUAUAUAGGAAGAAACCUAUCCACGUGUGGAUAGCUGACGGUACUAUAAGAAUAAGGAUCGGCUAACUCCGUGCCAGCAGCCGCGGUAAUACGGAGGAUCCAAGCGUUAUCCGGAAUCAUUGGGUUUAAAGGGUCCGUAGGCGGGCUAUUAAGUCAGAGGUGAAAGUUUGCAGCUCAACUGUAAAAUUGCCUUUGAUACUGGUAGUCUUGAAUUAGUAUGAAGUGGUUAGAAUAANNNNNGUAGCGGUGAAAUGCAUAGAUAUUACUUAGAAUACCGAUUGCGAAGGCAGAUCACUAAUACUAUAUUGACGCUGANGGACGAAAGCGUGGGGAGCGAACAGGAUUAGAUACCCUGGUAGUCCACGCCGUAAACGAUGGAUAC